RNAcentral lists this unclassified non-coding RNA (1009 nucleotides) under Hevea brasiliensis (rubber tree). The record is from RNAcentral. Lineage: Eukaryota; Viridiplantae; Streptophyta; Magnoliopsida; Malpighiales; Euphorbiaceae.
GGUCCACUCAUGCUGUUCUGUGGCAUUCCAGCCAUGUUGGGGGGAGGGUUCUGCAUGCCCUGAUUAUCCAUUGGAGUUACCCUUGUGUUCUGGAAAUCUCUGUUCUGCAUAUUUUCCCUUCUUCUUUCAUAGUUUCUUGACCUGUCAAAGUUACGAGGCCUAUCGUUGCGCCUAUUUCUCUCAUUUGCCCUCGCAUUAUUCCUUAUCCAUUCUUCAUGGUACUUUGGAUCAUAGGGAACAGCUUUGCCAUCAAUAAAUGGCUCCCCUCCAUAAUCUUUGUUCUUAACGUCCAAAUAUGAAUCAGGAAGAACCCAACGAACCCUGGGCAAUUCUGAGAAGAUGGAAGAAAAAUACAUAAGAUAUAUUUCAAAUACUGCCAAUACAAACAUUAACAGCAUAAAAUUAACACUUGGAAGGUAGAAAUACUUUUAAUCUCGUAAGAAAGCUCUUCAGACACGAGAGCUCCAAAAGCAUAGUAACAUCUAGUUGAAACUGAGUAGAUCUUCUUCCUUGCUUCUUCCUCACUGCCCACAACCAUAGCCAGGGUUUUGAUAUAGCUAUCAAUUAUUUCAUCCCUCGUAGGAUCGCCCUCUGGCUUCUCCAUAACCACAAGCCAGUGUUCAAAGUCGCAUCCAUCCAGCAAGAUAGUCUCUUUCGGAGGCCUGUUAGACCAGUUAGGGCUCGGAUCAUUAAGCGAGGACGUUGUAGUCCGGGUCGAGAAGGACCGAGUAGCUAGAGCAGGAGAAAGAUUAAAGGAGGCGAAGCUGGCAGCGGCGGAGAGGGGCCGCAGACUACGGAGGAGAGAGAAAGAGCGAGAGACAGGAUUGGUUGUGGGGAGGGAAGAUAAAGAGCGAGAGAGAAGAGAAAGAAUUAGCGUUUUGUUGGAGGAUGUCGGCCUGCAGAGUACAGGGCGAGUGAAGAGGCGAAUAGCCAUUUUCUGAUGAUACCCAAGCACUAGCAGAGAGACUGAGAAAUGAACUCGUUUCGCGGGGUUUUAUCAGGAACAGUC